This 254-nucleotide ribosomal RNA is filed under the name uncultured bacterium. RNAcentral describes it as "partial 16S ribosomal RNA". It matches the Rfam family "Bacterial small subunit ribosomal RNA", at positions 524 to 776 of the family's 1533-position model. The record is from RNAcentral.
UACGUAGGGUGCAAGCGUUAAUCGGAAUUACUGGGCGUAAAGCGUGCGCAGGCGGUUUUGUAAGUCUGUCGUGAAAUCCCCGGGCUCAACCUGGGAAUGGCGAUGGAGACUGCAAGGCUAGAGUUUGGCAGAGGGGGGUAGAAUUCCACGUGUAGCAGUGAAAUGCGUAGAUAUGUGGAGGAACACCGAUGGCGGAAGGCAGCCCCCUGGGUCAAAACUGACGCUCAUGCACGAAAGCGUGGGGAGCAAACAGG